GGCGCCGCGAGGUUUUAAAGCCCGGGCCCUGCGGCCCGCAGCAAGUGGGGUGAGCGCCGCGUGCGUUUCGGGAGCCGGCCUGCUCCCUUCCCCCUUGGUGGAGGUGAGACAGGUUUCACAUGUAGCCCAUGCUGGCCUAGAACUCAACUGUAUAGCCCAGGCUGGUCUUGAACUCAUGGCGAUUCUCCUGCCUCAGUCUCCAGAGUUGCUGAGAUUACAGAUGGGGAAACUGAGGCUUCUAGGGCAUCUGGGAAACUGCAUUUGGGACUUGAACUCUGGUCUGGUGUUUGGGUAAGGAGGCCAGCUACUGGCAGCCUGGGUCCUGUGUGGAGGGGAAGUGGAUGCAUGCCUGAGGCCAAUGUGGGGCUCGGUGCCUGUAGCCCCGCCCCGGGGGUGUGGGCAGGGGCCUGCCUGGUGGCUGAGGAGACGGCCACAGGGGGAGGCCGGGUGGUUUCCUUCUGCCCUUCAGGCUUCUAGGAAGUGGCGCCAGAUGGGGUGAGGUCACUUCCUCACCCACCUGCCCGCCCCCCUCAGCUUCCUCUCUCCUCGUGUGGCCCCAUUUGGUCGCCCGGGCAUGGGGUGGGAGGCUGGGGGAGUGGGGAAAGGGCUGGAGCUGCCCUGGAGCUCCUGCAGCCGCCUGGCCUAGAAGGGCUCUGGGCAUCUGUCGACACCUUGGGCUGGGACUGAGGUUGCUGCCAGGGGCCAGGAAUUCAGGGAGGACCCAGAGAGGGCAGUGUCCCCAAAUCAUAUCACCUCCUUUGCUCUCUCUUCCCUUCAGGUGCCAGCCUCUGGCCCCGCCCAGUGCCUCCCACCCUUUGCCAUGGCCGGCUGGGGUUCCUGGGGAUGGGAUUUGCUGUCUCACAAAUCACAUUGCCAGGGAUUUCCAACCGACCCUGAGCUCUGCCUCCGGGCCCACCACUGCCACUGAGGAUGCCUGUCCAUGCCUGGGGACGGGGUGUCGGAGAGGCCCUGCCACCGCCACCACCACUGCUGUAGCCGUCGCCAGGCCUGAGGAGCAGGGCUUAGCUGCUUGUGAGCAGAGUCCGCACCAAGUCGUGUUCACAGUGGCUAAGUUCCGUCCCCUGGGCCCCGCCUCCACCGCCCCACCUUUCUGCUGGUUGCCCAGUUCCCCGGGCUCUGCCUCCCGUGCCUACUGAGCUGAAACACAGUUGAUUUGUGCAGACUGGCUCAGUUCAGCAGGAACAGGGGUCAAGCCCCCUGGAGCCUGGAGCGCACAGCCUGGCUGUCCUGACACGGCGACCAGACAGGCGCAGAUGUGUCUGAAGGAGGGGACACGGGAGGACGGGGUGAGAGGGCUGGCCUGGGUCUAGGCAUCUGCUGCAGGCCACCUCUCUUUUUUGUUUUUUGAUACCAUGGAUGGAACUCGGGUCCUUGCACUUUCGCAGCAGGCAGUGAAACCACUGAGCUAAAUCCCCAGCCCAAGGCCACCUCUCUUGGUCUGCACAGAGGGACCCUGUUGUCCCAACAUGGCCAUACCUCGAACAGGCUGAGCCGUUGUCCCAGGGUAGACAGGACAGAGGGUCCUUCCUUAAGCCAGCUGUGCUUCUCUGGGCCUAGCACCUCAGCUCCUCCCUGUUUUGAUUCGUGAGAUUGAGUCUCCCUGUGUAAUCCAGGCUGGCUUUGAAUUAUGUAGCCAGGCAGUCCUCCUGCCUCAGCUUCCUGAGUGCUGGGAUGACAUGUGUGUGUCACCAUGCCUGGCCCUGCCCCUCCUGUCCUAAGCCUAGCGGGGAGUGCUGAACCUUCCCAGCUGCCUGUUACCCAAGAGGAAGCUGCCUUAGGCCCCCUGACCGUUAAGUGCCAACUCACAGCUUCUGGAACUAGCUGGCCCGACUUGGCCGAGUGAGUGUGCCUGGGCCCCUCUCCCUGGCCCUGAGGGUUCUUAAUGACACCCACUCCACGUGGGGUAGGGAACAGUUCCAUGCGGCCCCAAGAGGGACAUGAUCAGGCCUCCCCUGUCCUGGGGUUGAGGUCAUCCUGUCCUGCUCUCCUUGGUGGUCCUGGGCUUGGAAGAGGUGAAUUGUGCCACUGUCCCCAAGUCAGAUGGGAGGAAGCUCUUUGGGCCUGGAGGGAGGGUCCAGUGAAAUGCCCAGACUGUCAGGGCUGGCCUGGUGUUGCCCAGGUAGGGGCAGACAGGAGCUUGGGUGGAGGGAGGGCAGCAUUUGUAUUGUGCCCCGCAUGUGAUGCCCAGUGAAAUAAAAGUUGUCCCAGCUUCACUCCUGAGGCUCUGAUGGUCCGUGAUUUGCUCCUGUCUCUGUCCUUACAGUUACAGCUUUUUAUUCUUUCCGAUGCUGGGGGUGGAACUCCGGCCUCGUGCGGGCUGGACCAGCGCUCACCACCGAGUUACCUUGCCGGCUACACAUGCAGCCUUUGCAUUCUGGAGCAGGGGCUCCAGAUCUCACCGGCUCCCAACCCCCGCUCUGAGGGUGGCGGGAAAAGCCAGACUUGUUUUCCUGUGGACCAAGGGGGGCCCUGAGCUUGGAGAGGUGACUUUGAGGGAUGUCCUGGGGUGACACUAUUGUGGGAGGAACAAAAAUGAGGGUUACUAUGAAUGAUGACUGAGCCAAGAGGGAGGGAAGGGAGCCUGAUCUAGGGAUGGUGGGGGUGGAUUGGGCCUCAGGACAAACUGGACCGGGAGACCACUGGACGUGAGGGUCCUGAGCUAAUGGCAUUUGGGGACCACUGGGACUUAACCUGGGCUGUGGGGAGAGAUCUAGGGUGCCUGCUGUCUUAAGAAUGCUGAAAUUUUUUUCGAGACGGUCUUGAUUGUAGGCUGGCUCGGAGUCUCGGCAAGCCUCCUGCCUCAGCCUCCGGAGUCCCAGGAUGACAGGCGUUGCCACCACGCCCAGCUAGAAGGUGUAUGCGUAAGGCGGAGGAGAUUCCUGGUCCAAGGGGGAGAUAUUCAGGUGGCAGGGGACUAAGUGGCCCCCAGUCGGUAGGGAUACCCGUGGGUAACGGGAGCAGUGAGGGCGCCCGAGCCCCACGAGGGGCACCAAGGCGGACCAACGGCAGAGUGGGAAGCCCGGAUCGUCGCCCCACCCCGGCCCAGUCUAAGGCAGCCUGCGGGCGGGUCCAAGCCUCCGCAGCACGUACCUGCAGGAAUGAGCGGGGCUGGAGGUAGGGCCGUCGCCGAUUGGCCCCCUAGAUCCCAGGGCGUCACUCGGAACCAAUCGGCGUACCCAGCGCAGCCGGAGUCCCGCCCCCGAUUGCUCGCGCUGCCACGGCACCCUCUAG
RNAcentral lists this long non-coding RNA (3252 nucleotides) under Heterocephalus glaber (naked mole-rat). Its description in RNAcentral is "lncRNA (ENSHGLG00100042939.1)". The stretch from base 1140 to 1209 matches the Rfam family "mir-24 microRNA precursor family". Lineage: Eukaryota; Metazoa; Chordata; Mammalia; Rodentia; Bathyergidae. The record is from RNAcentral.